RNAcentral lists this ribosomal RNA (889 nucleotides) under Cirrenalia macrocephala. Its description in RNAcentral is "LSU rRNA". It matches the Rfam family "Eukaryotic large subunit ribosomal RNA", at positions 38 to 963 of the family's 3401-position model. Lineage: Eukaryota; Fungi; Ascomycota; Sordariomycetes; Microascales; Halosphaeriaceae. The record is from RNAcentral.
GCAUAUCAAUAAGCGGAGGAAAAGAAACCAACAGGGAUUGCCUCAGUAACGGCGAAGUGAAGCGGCAACAGCUCAAAUUUGAAAUCUGGCKCUUGCGCCCGAGUUGUAAUUUGCAGAGGAUGCUUCUGGCAAAGUGCCUUCCGAGUUCCCUGGAACGGGACGCCAUAGAGGGUGAGAGCCCCGUACGGUCGGCCGCUGCGCCGCUGUGAAGCGCCUUCGACGAGUCGAGUAGUUUGGGAAUGCUGCUCUAAAUGGGAGGUAAACUCCUUCUAAAGCUAAAUAUUGGCCAGAGACCGAUAGCGCACAAGUAGAGUGAUCGAAAGAUGAAAAGCACUUUGAAAAGAGAGUCAAACAGCACGUGAAAUUGUUGAAAGGGAAGCGCUUGUGACCAGACUUGGGCUUGGUAGUUCAGCCGUCCUUCUGGGCGGUGCACUCUGCCGGUUCAGGCCAGCAUCAGUUGUCGGUCGGGGAGAAAGAUGGCGGGAACGUGGCUCUUCGGAGUGUUAUAGCCCGCUAUUAUGCCCUUCCGGCGACUGAGGUUAGCGUUCUGCACGGAUGCUGGCGUAAUGGUUAUCAGCGACCCGUCUUGAAACACGGACCAAGGAGUCAUCCUAAUAUGCGAGUGUUUGGGUGUCAAACCCCUACGCGGAAUGAAAGUAAACGGAGGUGAGAGCUUCGGCGCAUCAUCGACCGAUCCUGAUGUUUUCGGAUGGAUUUGAGUAAGAGCAUAUUGGGCUGGACCCGAAAGAAGGUGAACUAUGCUUGGAUAGGGCAAAGCCAGAGGAAACUCUGGUGGAGGCUCGCAGCGGUUCUGACGUGCAAAUCGAUCGUCAAAUCUGAGCAUGGGGGCGAAAGACUAAUCGAACCUUCUAGUAGCUGGUUUCCGCGA